UAGUCCACGCCGUAAACGAUGGGCGCUAGGUGUGGGAGGUCAUCGACUCCUUCCGUGCCGCAGCUAACGCAUUAAGCGCCCCGCCUGGGGAGUACGGCCGCAAGGCUAAAACUCAAAGGAAUUGACGGGGGCCCGCACAAGCGGCGGAGCAUGUUGCUUAAUUCGACGCGACGCGAAGAACCUUACCAGGGCUUGACAUGUAGGGAAAAGCCGUGGAGACACGGUGUCCGCAAGGGCCCUACAC
RNAcentral lists this ribosomal RNA (244 nucleotides) under uncultured bacterium. RNAcentral describes it as "partial 16S ribosomal RNA". It matches the Rfam family "Bacterial small subunit ribosomal RNA", at positions 791 to 1035 of the family's 1533-position model. The record is from RNAcentral.